Molecule: ribosomal RNA, 460 nt
Filed under: uncultured bacterium
Lineage: Bacteria
Description: partial 16S ribosomal RNA
Rfam family: Bacterial small subunit ribosomal RNA
Source: RNAcentral
CCUACGGGGGGCAGCAGUGAGGAAUAUUGGUCAAUGGGCUUACGCCUGAACCAGCCAAGUCGCGUGAGGGAAGACUGCCCUAUGGGUUGUAAACCUCUUUUGUCAGGGAGCAACGCCGGCUACGUGUAGCCGGACUGAGAGUACCUGAAGAAAAAGCAUCGGCUAACUCCGUGCCAGCAGCCGCGGUAAUACGUAGGAUGCGAGCGUUAUCCGGAUUUAUUGGGUUUAAGGGGUGCGUAGGCGGAAUGCCAAGUCAGCGGUAAAAUCGCGGGGCUCAACCUCGCUCCGCCGUUGAAACUGGCGGUCUUGAGUGGGCGAGAAGUAUGCGGAAUGCGUGGUGUAGCGGUGAAAUGCAUAGAGAUCACGCAGAACUCCGAUUGCGAAGGCAGCAUACCGGCGCCCAACUGACGCUGAAGUACGAAAGCGUGGGUAUCGAACAGGAUUAGAUACCCCAGUAGUC